GGUAGCACAGAGAGCUUGCUCUUGGGUGACGAGUGGCGGACGGGUGAGUAAUGUCUGGGAAACUGCCUGAUGGAGGGGGAUAACUACUGGAAACGGUAGCUAAUACCGCAUAACGUCUUCGGACCAAAGUGGGGGACCUUCGGGCCUCACACCGUCGGAUGUGCCCAGAUGGGAUUAGCUAGUAGGUGGGGUAAUGGCUCACCUAGGCGACGAUCCCUAGCUGGUCUGAGAGGAUGACCAGCCACACUGGAACUGAGACACGGUCCAGACUCCUACGGGAGGCAGCAGUGGGGAAUAUUGCACAAUGGGCGCAAGCCUGAUGCAGCCAUGCCGCGUGUAUGAAGAAGGCCUUCGGGUUGUAAAGUACUUUCAGCGGGGAGGAAGGCGAUAAGGUUAAUAACCUUGUCGAUUGACGUACCCGCAGAAG
This 427-nucleotide ribosomal RNA is filed under the name uncultured bacterium. RNAcentral's name for it is "bacterial SSU rRNA". It matches the Rfam family "Bacterial small subunit ribosomal RNA", at positions 68 to 487 of the family's 1533-position model. The record is from RNAcentral.